AUAUUGGUGGUUCAGUAGCAGAAUUCUCACCUUGCACAUGGGAGACCAGGGUUUGAUUCCCAGUCAAUGCG
This 71-nucleotide transfer RNA is filed under the name Loxodonta africana (African savanna elephant). It matches the Rfam family "tRNA". From Rfam's summary of the family: Transfer RNA (tRNA) molecules are approximately 80 nucleotides in length. Their secondary structure includes four short double-helical elements and three loops (D, anti-codon, and T loops). Further hydrogen bonds mediate the characteristic L-shaped molecular structure. tRNAs have two regions of fundamental functional importance: the anti-codon, which is responsible for specific mRNA codon recognition, and the 3' end, to which the tRNAs corresponding amino acid is attached (by aminoacyl-tRNA synthetases). tRNAs cope with the degeneracy of the genetic code in two manners: having more than one tRNA (with a specific anti-codon) for a particular amino acid; and 'wobble' base-pairing, i.e. permitting non-standard base-pairing at the 3rd anti-codon position. Lineage: Eukaryota; Metazoa; Chordata; Mammalia; Proboscidea; Elephantidae. The record is from Rfam by way of RNAcentral.